This 404-nucleotide ribosomal RNA is filed under the name Fusobacteriota bacterium. RNAcentral's name for it is "Fusobacteria bacterium partial 16S ribosomal RNA". It matches the Rfam family "Bacterial small subunit ribosomal RNA", at positions 355 to 776 of the family's 1533-position model. The record is from RNAcentral. Lineage: Bacteria; Fusobacteriati; Fusobacteriota.
UGGGGAAUAUUGCACAAUGGAGGGAACUCUGAUGCAGCGACGCCGCGUGAGUGAUGAAGGAAUUCGUUUCGUAAAACUCUGUUCUAUGGGAAGAAAAGGACUGUACCAUAGGAGAAAGCUCCGGCUAAAUACGUGCCAGCAGCCGCGGUAAUACGUAUGGAGCGAGCGUUGUCCGGAAUUAUUGGGCGUAAAGGGUGCGCAGGCGGCUUUACAAGUUGGAUGUGAAAUAUUGUGGCUCAACCACAAACGUGCAUCCAAAACUGCAAAGCUUGAGUUAAGGAGAGGUAAGUUGAAUUCCUGGUGUAGCGGUGGAAUGCGUAGAUAUCAAGAGGAAUACCGGUGGCGAAGGCGACUUACUGGACUUAAACUGACGCUCAGGCACGAAAGCGUGGGGAGCAAACAGG